CCUACGGGUGGCAGCAGGGAGGAAUAGGGGGCAAUGGACGAGAGGCGGAACCAGCCAAGGAGCGUGAAGGAUGACUGCCCUAUGGGUUGUAAACUUCUUUUAUAUGGGAAUAAAAUGUUCCACGUGUGGGAUUUUGUAUGUACCAUAUGAAUAAGGAUCGGCUAACUCCGUGCCAGCAGCCGCGGUAAUACGGAGGAUCCGAGCGUUAUCCGGAUUUAUUGGGUUUAAAGGGAGCGUAGGUGGAUUGUUAAGUCAGUUGUGAAAGUUUGCGGCUCAACCGUAAAAUUGCAGUUGAAACUGGCAGUCUAGAGUGCAGUAGAGGUGGGCGGAAUUCGUGGUGUAGCGGUGAAAUGCUUAGAUAUCACGAAGAACUCCGAUUGCGAAGGCAGUUCACUGGACUGCAACUGACACUGAGGCUCGAAAGUGUGGGUAUCAAACAGGAUUAGAUACCCUAGUAGUC
Molecule: ribosomal RNA, 460 nt
Filed under: uncultured bacterium
Lineage: Bacteria
Description: partial 16S ribosomal RNA
Rfam family: Bacterial small subunit ribosomal RNA
Source: RNAcentral